GUUCAGGAUAACUUCUGGGAUGGCAUGGCCUUGCGCCGGCGAUGGUUCAUUCAAAUUUCUGCCCUAUCAACUUUCGAUGGUUGGGUAUUGGCUUACCAUGGUUGCAACGGGUAACGGAGAAUUAGGGCUCGACUCCGGAGAGGGAGCCUGAGAAACGGCUACCACAUCCAAGGAAGGCAGCAGGCGCGCAAAUUACCCAAUCCCGACACGGGGAGGUAGUGACAAUAAAUACUGAUACAGGGCUCUUUUGGGUCUUGUAAUUGGAAUGAGUACAAUUUAAACCCCUUAACGAGGAACAAUUGGAGGGCAAGUCUGGUGCCAGCAGCCGCGGUAAUUCCAGCUCCAAUAGCGUAUAUUAAAGUUGUUGCGGUUAAAAAGCUCGUAGUUGAACCUUGGGCCUGGCUGGCCGGUCCGCCUCACCGCGUGUACUGGUCCGGCCGGGCCUUUCCCUCUGGGGAACCUCAUGCCCUUCACUGGGUGUGCUGGGGAACCAGGACUUUAAC
Molecule: ribosomal RNA, 503 nt
Filed under: uncultured fungus
Lineage: Eukaryota; Fungi
Description: SSU rRNA
Rfam family: Eukaryotic small subunit ribosomal RNA
Source: RNAcentral